UUGUGUAAUUCGGACAUGGGUCAACACUGAUAACAAGAGAAAUGAGAUAAUCUCUCUGUGCAUAGUUAUUUAAUUCCGAAUCGUAUUUUAAAAUGAAUAUUUUCUUGCUGUUUGCGCCGCUCGUGUGCCUGUUUGGCUCCUCGUAUCAAAGAUGCAUUUCAACAGUGGCAACAACCGAAUGCGAUGCUGCAAGUUUCUCCCGUGGACAUCCCGUGAAGUUAGAUUCUUAUCGGAACUUUGUGCAGUUCAAGGGAAGUAAUAUUGAAGAGAUUCCGUCGGGGACAUUUCGGUUGUUACCCGAAGUCAGCAGUCUUUACCUCAGUUUUAACACAAUUAAAAAGUUAGAGCCAGGCUCGUUCGACGGUUUACCAAAACUGAGUCAACUGGUCCUGAAUCACAACAGUUUAGAAAUCAUUGUUAAUGGAGUGUUCCGCGACUGCACCAAUCUGCGAAUGCUUGAUUUAGGAGCGAAUAAAAUUAAAACCAUCGAAAGGAGCGCUUUUAGCGAACUCAUAAACUUGGAAGAAAUCGUGCUGUCGUUCAAUCAGUUAGAAAGUGUUCCUGAAAGCGUCGCAGUUUUAGUCAAAGUUAAAAAAAUAGAUUUGUCUAAUAAUAAAAUCAAGUCUGUCGAGUCGAACGUUUUCACUAAGUUGAAUUCUUUGGAAGUUUUAAGUUUGGAAAGUAAUAAAAUUCGGUACGUUCAAGACGAUGCGUUUAAGGGUUUGAACAAGCUCCAGGAAAUUAAUCUCAAAGACAACUAUCUGUCGAAUUUAAAUGCUGCCAAUCUUAUAAAUAACUUGAAGUCGCUGAAAACAAUAAAACUUAGUAUCAAUGAUUUUGUCUGUAAGACAUUGAAGGCCAUUAUCGACGAAUUCGAGGCAAGAAAUAUCAAAGUGACACGAGGAGUUUCCAAAGCGGACGUCACUAUAAAUGGAAUUGCUUGUAAACUGCAAUAAAUUUUUGCAUCAUU
RNA transcript from Tribolium castaneum (red flour beetle), 970 nucleotides. RefSeq lists it as uncharacterized. The record is from RefSeq and is a predicted model, not a curated record. The transcript has 2 exons. NCBI's taxonomy places the organism in Eukaryota, Metazoa, Arthropoda, Insecta, Coleoptera, Tenebrionidae.